The sequence is a ribosomal RNA, 685 nucleotides long. The stretch from base 263 to 416 matches the Rfam family "5.8S ribosomal RNA".
UUCUUUGAAGUUAAAAAUCGUAACAAGGUUUCCGUAGGUGAACCUGCGGAAGGAUCAUUAUCGAGUUAAUGAAUGGGUUGUAGCUGGCCUUCCGAGGCAUGUGCACGCCCUUCUAAUCCACUCUACACCUGUGCACUUACUGCGGGUUCUCGGGUUGCUGAAGCAGAGUUUACUCUCUGUGGAUUUGACUUUGAGGCUCGUGUUUAUCACAAACACACAAGUAAUAGAAUGUUAAUACUGCGAAGUUAACGCAUUGAAAUACAACUUUCAGCAACGGAUCUCUUGGCUCUCGCAUCGAUGAAGAACGCAGCGAAAUGCGAUAAGUAAUGUGAAUUGCAGAAUUCAGUGAAUCAUCGAAUCUUUGAACGCACCUUGCGCUCCUUGGUAUUCCGAGGAGCAUGCCUGUUUGAGUGUCAUGAAAUCAUCAACCUUCCGGACUUUGUCUGUGCAAGGCUUGGAUUUGGAGGCUUGCUGGACUGGUAUUACAUACAUUGGUCCAGCUCCUCUUAAAAGCAUUAGCUUGGUUUCCUUGUGAAUCAGCUGUUGGUGUGAUAAUUGUCUACGCUACAACUGUGAAGCAUUUUGGACAGGCUUCUAAUGGUCUCAUUAGAGACAGCUAUAUUGACCUCUGACCUCAAAUCAGGUAGGACUACCCGCUGAACUUAAGCAUAUCAAAGGCGCGAAA